UUCAGUAAAAGGCAAACUUAUUGAAAAAUAAGGACGCAAAGCAACAGAUCUAAAGCGCCUCGGUGCAAGGAUGGCUGUGCUGCCUGA
RNAcentral lists this non-coding RNA (87 nucleotides) under Sediminibacillus halophilus. Its description in RNAcentral is "c-di-GMP sequence". It matches the Rfam family "c-di-GMP-I riboswitch aptamer". Rfam says of the family: GEMM was predicted in a large-scale screen for bacterial structured RNA regulatory elements. Genes associated with GEMM are involved in a diverse array of functions, including chemotaxis regulation, signal transduction, secretion and chitin. The record is from RNAcentral. Lineage: Bacteria; Bacillati; Bacillota; Bacilli; Caryophanales; Bacillaceae.